Molecule: ribosomal RNA, 1454 nt
Filed under: uncultured organism
Description: SSU rRNA
Rfam family: Bacterial small subunit ribosomal RNA
Source: RNAcentral
UAGCUACAGGCUUAACACAUGCAAGUCGAGGGGCAUCAGGAAGAAAGCUUGCUUUCUUUGCUGGCGACCGGCGCACGGGUGAGUAACACGUAUCCAACCUGCCCUUUACUCGGGGAUAGCCUUUCGAAAGAAAGAUUAAUACCCGAUGGCAUAAUGAUUCCGCAUGGUUUCAUUAUUAAAGGAUUCCGGUAAAGGAUGGGGAUGCGUUCCAUUAGGUUGUUGGUGAGGUAACGGCUCACCAAGCCUUCGAUGGAUAGGGGUUCUGAGAGGAAGGUCCCCCACAUUGGAACUGAGACACGGUCCAAACUCCUACGGGAGGCAGCAGUGAGGAAUAUUGGUCAAUGGGCGCUAGCCUGAACCAGCCAAGUAGCGUGAAGGAUGAAGGCUCUAUGGGUCGUAAACUUCUUUUAUAUAAGAAUAAAGUGCAGUAUGUAUACUGUUUUGUAUGUAUUAUAUGAAUAAGGAUCGGCUAACUCCGUGCCAGCAGCCGCGGUAAUACGGAGGAUCCGAGCGUUAUCCGGAUUUAUUGGGUUUAAAGGGAGCGUAGGUGGACUGGUAAGUCAGUUGUGAAAGUUUGCGGCUCAACCGUAAAAUUGCAGUUGAUACUGUCAGUCUUGAGUACAGUAGAGGUGGGCGGAAUUCGUGGUGUAGCGGUGAAAUGCUUAGAUAUCACGAAGAACUCCGAUUGCGAAGGCAGCUCACUGGACUGCAACUGACACUGAUGCUCGAAAGUGUGGGUAUCAAACAGGAUUAGAUACCCUGGUAGUCCACACAGUAAACGAUGAAUACUCGCUGUUUGCGAUAUACAGUAAGCGGCCAAGCGAAAGCAUUAAGUAUUCCACCUGGGGAGUACGCCGGCAACGGUGAAACUCAAAGGAAUUGACGGGGGCCCGCACAAGCGGAGGAACAUGUGGUUUAAUUCGAUGAUACGCGAGGAACCUUACCCGGGCUUAAAUUGCAGUGGAAUGAUGUGGAAACAUGUCAGUGAGCAAUCACCGCUGUGAAGGUGCUGCAUGGUUGUCGUCAGCUCGUGCCGUGAGGUGUCGGCUUAAGUGCCAUAACGAGCGCAACCCUUAUCUUUAGUUACUAACAGGUCAUGCUGAGGACUCUAGAGAGACUGCCGUCGUAAGAUGUGAGGAAGGUGGGGAUGACGUCAAAUCAGCACGGCCCUUACGUCCGGGGCUACACACGUGUUACAAUGGGGGGUACAGAAGGCAGCUAGCGGGUGACCGUAUGCUAAUCCCAAAAGCCUCUCUCAGUUCGGAUCGAAGUCUGCAACCCGACUUCGUGAAGCUGGAUUCGCUAGUAAUCGCGCAUCAGCCACGGCGCGGUGAAUACGUUCCCGGGCCUUGUACACACCGCCCGUCAAGCCAUGGGAGCCGGGGGUACCUGAAGUACGUAACCGCAAGGAUCGUCCUAGGGUAAAACUGGUGACUGGGGCUAAGUCAUAACAA